RNAcentral lists this long non-coding RNA (1875 nucleotides) under Olea europaea subsp. europaea. The record is from RNAcentral. Lineage: Eukaryota; Viridiplantae; Streptophyta; Magnoliopsida; Lamiales; Oleaceae.
CUUUUGAACCGGCCCCAAAUGGAUCACACCCGAAUGCAAUUUCACUCUCACCUCAAACCGACCACUAUUUUCCCCUCACAGCUACCUCGCCUGAAAUGCAAAAAUCCUCUCACGAAUCAUCUCAUGCGAGGAGAUCUAAGGCUACAAGAUUGAAGCCCACCGUACGCAGCAGAGUCGGCCGUUGCUAAAUCCUUCCUCUCCGACAAAAUCUCCGACUGUAGGGGUUCCAGCUUUGACUUGAUUUCGACAAAUUUCAGUUUCACCUCUCCACUUGCUGAUCAUUUGCAGGACCCUGAAGGUGCGUUUCUUAUACUUUAUGUGAUAGAAGCAAUUAUAUAAAUAUUAAUAUUUUUUGCAUUUCGUAGCUUGAUGCGUUGAUUUCGCUCGUUGAAUCCGAAGUGUGAGAAGGAAAGAGCUCUUAAAAUGCAACUGGAGAAAAACUACAACAAAAUAAAGUACGUUGAAGUGAUGAUUAGAGUAUUAUUGUGAUCUUCGAUUUUGGGGUAGUUGAUUAUGUUCGGUAAUUUUUCAUAGAAAAUUGAAUGACGAAGAUCACUUUUUCCAAAAUAGAGUAUAGAUAUCGUGAUAUUGGUGUUGAAUUUGAGCGAUCUACGUGAUGUUUUGGGAUUGUCUUGAAUCUAUGAUUUGGGAAUUUUGGUUUUGAGUGGAAAUUUUUUACAAACGAUUGGGGGUUUUCAGAAAAAAACUGAAAUCAUCACACAUGUUUUCUCAGUUUCCUUGUAACAAAAUUAACCGCUAGUAUUUUAGAUCAUGUUUUCUGAAUUAUGUAAUCAAUGCCUGUAGGAAGAUUUAUGCAUCAAGUUAUAAAUUUUAGUUACAUUUACGCUUUUGCAUGUUGUUUGAUACUGCAGUCCAAUCUCUUAAACAGAAAUGCCUGUAGGAUGAUACUAGUUGAUAUGGUCUUGUUUUGCUUGACAAUUUUUUAAGUAAUUUGCUAUUGCACUGGAGAUGUUUUUCCUAACAAGUUAAUAUUGUGUUCAUUUGAGUAAUGCACCAGUUUAUGCAGUGGUGAGAUUACUGUUAUCACAUUAUGCACCAAAGUUAUAUUUCAGUUUUAUGUAUUGGGCAAUGUGAUAGUAACUUCACCGUCACAUAGACUAACGCUAAAUACCAAAAAAAUUGGAUAGUAUUACUCUUAUCAUUUCAGUUCAUGCAUUUCUGUGUAGCAUGCCGGGAAAGAACUCUGGACUUUGUCAUAGCUGUAGAGGGAAGGGUCACUUGUUUGCGGAUUGCCCAAACAAAAGGCGAUGCCCCUUGUGUAAAUGUGGAAUUGUGAAGUGCUUUGAGGUCGAGAGGGAGACAAAGAACAAGGGCAGAUUGUUCGAGUGCUGCAGUGCUAAUUGUAAAUAUUGGGCAUAGGUCGAUGAGGGAGAAUCAAGCAGUGGGUCAAGUAAUGUUACCGUGAACUCGAAUAAUCAUGCAGCACUUGAAGAUGUUCAGCAGUUCUCUCACAUGUUCUAGUCUCUUUGUCACGUGGUGUCUAAGGAACGAAACAUUGAGAUUUCUUUAAAUGUGACAAUAAGGAAUGACAACGAAAGUGCAGAAGUGGAUGUGAAAGGGAAGGGGCCAGCAUGAUUUGUGGGUAGCUGAAUAAGUGAUUAGUGUAGUUGAUGUAUUUUGUUAAUAUUGGUGUUUGCACUAAGGUGUUGGCCAGAAAAUUAUUCCUCGCAAAUGGUCAUGUUGUUGUCUUCGUGUUAUGAAUUUUGUGUUGAAGUUAUUUUUAUGCAAAGCUAUUGUGUGUGAAAUAUUAUUUUUGGUUACCGUACUUAGAGCUAUGUUUGUUGAUUUUCAUGAGAAAAGAAACCUUGAAACUGAUUAUUUGGGUUCCAAAUGGAGUAGAAGUGUAAAUUCACC